AUUGAACGCUGGCGGCAGGCCUAACACAUGCAAGUCGAACGAGUGGCGGACGGGUGAGUAAUGUCUGGGAAACUGCCUUAUGGAGGGGGAUAACUACUGGGAACGGUAGCUAAUACCGCAUACCAUCGGAUUUGCCCAGGUGGGAUUAGCUAGUAGGUGGGGUAAAGGCUCACCUAGGCGACGAUCCCUGGCUGGUCUGAGAGGAUGACCAGCAACACUGGAAUGGGGACAGGGUCCAGAUCCCUAGGGGAGGCACAAGUGGGGAAUAUGGCACAAUGGGCGCAAGCUGGAUGAGGCACUGCCGCGUGGAUGAGGAAGGCUUUCGGGUUGUAAACUACGUUCAGCGGGGAGGCGGUAUCCGACCAAGAAGCAACGGCUAACUCCGUGCCAGCAGCCGCGGUAAUUC
RNAcentral lists this ribosomal RNA (406 nucleotides) under uncultured bacterium. Its description in RNAcentral is "partial 16S ribosomal RNA". It matches the Rfam family "Bacterial small subunit ribosomal RNA", at positions 29 to 526 of the family's 1533-position model. The record is from RNAcentral.